This 822-nucleotide small RNA is filed under the name Malus domestica (apple). RNAcentral describes it as "sRNA MD02G0180500". The record is from RNAcentral. Lineage: Eukaryota; Viridiplantae; Streptophyta; Magnoliopsida; Rosales; Rosaceae.
AUGAUUGCUGUGCGCGCAAUGGCAUGUAAAUCUGUUGGCCAAAGCAAGAAAAAGAAAAAGGGGAUUUUGCUGCUCUUGCGGCUGAUGUGAAAAAUAAGUUAACACACAAAUUAAACCCUCUUUUUAUCAAUUGUAGUAAAGUAUGUAAGUAGGGAUCGUUCUAGGCCGGGGAUUAGGAGGGAUUGCUAAAUCACUUGGAAACUGACUUGAAAACGUAAAAACAAAGUUUAAAACACUAACUAGACUCAAAGAAUGCAAAACUAUACUUUAAAACACUAAAACAAACCAAAAGACUCAAAACAGCCCCUAAACACUCAAAACUACCUUAAACACACAAUCUGGGCAGUUUUGGGACUCUAACACAAACUUGGACGAAUUUUGGUUUUCUAAUGAACUAAAACACUUAAAAACAUAAUCUAAGACAAGUUCUAAUUAAUAUGACUCAAAGAAAUAAGAUGGGGUUGAUUUUGGACGAAAAUAAUUAAAUUAAGACAAGAACAAAGUAAACAAAUUCUUAGACAAAUUUAAGUGAAUCAAAACAGAUUGUAAAAUGAAUUUGAAUGAAACUUAUGGAUGGAAGGCUAGCUAGGAGGUUCUUCUCCACACAUGUCACACUUGCAUACAAAACGAUUUCCAGUUGCUUUUCGAUAAGCUAUGAAUACUCAACGCCCCAAAUUAACCGUGAAUUGCACUAAUUAACCCUCAGUUUUUCAACAAGUUAUUGGAUUGGAUGAUUGCAUACGACAACCCAAAACAUUCCUUACAAGUUCCCUACAUGAAUUGCAUAAUAGAGAUACAAGCAAGAAUCAUUAAGUUCUAUGA